AGAGUUUGAUCCUGGCUCAGGAUGAACGCUGGCGGCGUGCCUAAUACAUGCAAGUCGAACGAGAGCCAUUGUAGCAAUACGAUGGUUUCUAGUGGCGAACGGGUGAGUAACGCGUUGGUGAUCUGCCCCGAAGUGGAGGAUAACAGUCCGAAAGGACUGCUAAUACUCCAUGUGGCUGCAAGAGUUAGAGGUCUUGCUACCAAAGAAGCAAUUCGCUUCGGGAGGAGCCUGCGUCCCAUCAGCUAGUUGGUAGGGUAACGGCCUACCAAGGCUCAGACGGGUAGGGGACCUGAGAGGGUGACCCCCCACACUGGAACUGAAACACGGUCCAGACUCCUACGGGAGGCAGCAGUAGGGAAUAUUGCACAAUGGGCGAAAGCCUGAUGCAGCAACGCCGCGUGUACGAUGAAGGCCUUCGGGUUGUAAAGUACUUUUAUGAGGGAAGAGCAAGGACUGUACCUCAUGAAUAAGGAUCGGCUAACUACGUGCCAGCAGCCGCGGUAACACGUAGGAUCCAAGCGUUAUCCGGAUUUACUGGGCGUAAAGCGCGUGUAGGUGGUUUGUUAAGUUGGGUGUUAAAUCUCUCGGCUCAACUGAGAGGUGUCGCUCAAAACUAGCAGACUGGAGGACGGUAGAGGAAGGUGGAAUUCCGGGUGUAGUGGUGAAAUGCGUAGAUAUCCGGAGGAACACCAGUGGCGAAGGCGGCCUUCUGGACCGCUCCUGACACUCAAACGCGAAAGCUAGGGGAGCAAACGGGAUUAGAAACCCCGGUAGUCCUAGCUGUAAACGAUGUGAACUUGGUGUUGGUGGGGUAAAACCUGCCGGUGCCGCAGCAAACGCGAUAAGUUCACCGCCUGGGGACUACGGCCGCAAGGUUAAAACUCAAAGGAAUUGACGGGGGCCCGCACAAGCAGCGGAGCGU
This 922-nucleotide ribosomal RNA is filed under the name sediment metagenome. RNAcentral's name for it is "bacterial SSU rRNA". It matches the Rfam family "Bacterial small subunit ribosomal RNA", at positions 8 to 940 of the family's 1533-position model. The record is from RNAcentral.